AAACGACUGCUAAUACUCUAUACUCCUGUCUAACAUAAGUUAGAUAGGGAAAGUUUUUCGGUGUAGGAUGAGGCUAUAUUGUAUCAGCUAGUUGGUGAGGUAAUGGCUCACCAAGGCUAUGACGCAUAACUGGUCUGAGAGGAUGAUCAGUCACACUGGAACUGAGACACGGUCCAGACUCCUACGGGAGGCAGCAGUAGGGAAUAUUGCUCAAUGGGGGAAACCCUGAAGCAGCAACGCCGCGUGGAGGAUGACACUUUUCGGAGCGUAAACUCCUUUUGUUAGGGAAGAAUAAUGACGGUACCUAACGAAUAAGCACCGGCUAACUCCGUGCCAGCAGCCGCGGUAAUACGGAGGGUGCAAGCGUUACUCGGAAUCACUGGGCGUAAAGGACGCGUAGGCGGAUUAUCAAGUCUCUUGUGAAAUCCUAUGGCUUAACCAUAGAACUGCUUGGGAAACUGAUAAUCUAGAGUGAGGGAGAGGCAGAUGGAAUUGGUGGUGUAGGGGUAAAAUCCGUAGAGAUCACCAGGAAUACCCAUUGCGAAGGCGAUCUGCUGGAACUCAACUGACGCUAAUGCGUGAAAGCGUGGGGAGCAAACAGGAUUAGAUACCCUGGUAGUCCACGCCCUAAACGAUGUAUACUAGUUGUUGCUAAGCUAGUCUUGGCAGUAAUGCACCUAACGGAUUAAGUAUACCGCCUGGGGAGUACGGUCGCAAGAUUAAAACUCAAAGGAAUAGACGGGGACCCGCACAAGCGGUGGAGCAUGUGGUUUAAUUCGAAGAUACGCGAAGAACCUUACCCGGACUUGAUAUCUAACAAAUCAUCCAGAGAUGGAAGAGUGUCUGCUUGCAGAAAUGUUAAGACAGGUGCUGCACGGCUGUCGUCAGCUCGUGUCGUGAGAUGUUGGGUUAAGUCCCGCAACGAGCGCAACCCACGUCAUUAGUUGCUAACAGUUCGGCUGAGCACUCUAAUGAGACUGCCUUCGUAAGGAGGAGGAAGGUGUGGACGACGUCAAGUCAUCAUGGCCCUUAUGUCCGGGGCGACACACGUGCUACAAUGGCAUAUACAAUGAGACGCAAUAUCGCGAGA
RNAcentral lists this ribosomal RNA (1090 nucleotides) under Campylobacter concisus. RNAcentral's name for it is "bacterial SSU rRNA". It matches the Rfam family "Bacterial small subunit ribosomal RNA", at positions 154 to 1262 of the family's 1533-position model. Lineage: Bacteria; Pseudomonadati; Campylobacterota; Epsilonproteobacteria; Campylobacterales; Campylobacteraceae. The record is from RNAcentral.